GACACUCCUUUUGAGCUGGGAAACCAUCAUCCAUGACAUGAUUUAGCAUUUAACAGGCUGCUGAGUUGAAAAUAGAUUGAGAGGGGAGGGGGGCCAAUUAAGAGAGGCCUGAUUACAAUCCAGGUGAACAAAGAUGGCAACUGCUGGUCUCAGGCGGGUCACAAUAGAGGUUGUGAAAGCAGUCGGAUUCUAAACAUGUUUUUAAAGGUGAGUGUGGGUAUACCACGGAGAAGGUGACGGCACCCCACUCCAGUACUCUUGCCUGGAGAAUCUCAUGGAUGGAGGAGCCUGGUGGGCUGCAGUCCAUGGGGUCGCUAAGGUUCUCCCUUCCAGAUCUAACUCACCACGUGGACACACAUCGACUCCUGGCUCCCCGCCAGGACCAGCCCUCCACCUGGGCAAGAAGGCCGCUGCCCUGGACUCGGUCUUCCUGUGGCCCCUCUCUGCCCACACCCCUCUCCUUGGAGUGGGCAGUCUAUGGGAUCACAAGGAAGCGUCCACCUGAGCCCACAUACCCCCUCAAUGCUGUUACCAACCCAGGUCCUUGGGCUCUUUAGUCAAUAGCAAUUGAUAAGAGGCCAGACAAGAAAUUCAGGCUCGGCUUUCCUGGGACUCAUGCUGCAGAUGGGUCAAAAACAGGCAACAGGCGCCCUUGCUUGCUCUCCACUCUCUGAGGAGGGCGGCCUCCUUCCUUAAGUGGCAUAAAGGUGGGGUGAAUCAGUGGGUCUGGGUCAGGUGAAGGGGCGGCUUAGGUGGUCUCCCACCCCCUUGGUGGUGCUGAGCGCAGGGAUCACACACAGCACCCUGCUUUUGCUCCCCGCAUCUCAGAAAUGGGAGUUCGUCUAUGGCCUUUUUGUAUCUUAUUGUUCAUAAUUGCCUGGACUGCGCAUGCGUGCAGUUAUUUGUAGUCCCUUAUAGAUUCUUUUGUAUUGUUGUUUGAGGAGACGUUUGUCCAAGUGCAAGCACACAAGUAGAGAAUCUCAGGUCUUAGCCUAUCUCAGUGCCACGUUUCAACAUCUGGAGCUGCAGAAUUCACUGCUCAGACAGCCCCAGCCUCCUUCCACAGCCUGCACAGGCCUCUUUCCAGGCAAUCCCCUGAAGGUGAAUAGGGAGGGUCAGCAUGUGCACUCCAGGCCAGCCAUUUGCAAGGAUUCAGACUUUGGAUGUGUGUGUGCUGAGGUGUCUAUUCGAUGUGGGAGGGAGUCAGGGGUGAAAAGAGAAAGUGAAAGGCUACAGGCUUCCUCUGCUCCAUCUCACCCCAGUGCAAAAUUCCAAAGAUGGUGAAAAUUCUGAACAGGAACCUGCCUUCAGGUCAUUAUGAAGGCCCAUGCGUCCAGAUGAGCAGAGAGGUGUGUUUAACAGAUUGAUAGUGGGAGUUAAGACUCUUUAAUAUUUAGCCAUAUGGCCUGUGGCCUCUAUUUGGGCUCUUGUCUUGGGCCCCACAAAGGUUCCAGUCAGGCCUGUGCCAUAGGUACAACUCUGCUGCCCUCCUGCAGGGAUGCUCCUCCCCUUCUCCACCUCUAUCUGAACCCAAAAUGCACUCAAGGCCCAUGUGGAGAUCAUCAGUCACUUUAAACUGCCAUCAAUCCUAUCUCCUUUCGACUCAGCUGGUACCUGAAACUUUCUCUUCUGGAAGAAACCCAUUCCCUUUGGUUUAGAUGGGGCUGAGCCACUAGGGACUAUCAAAAAAAGACUGUCUCCCCGUGAUGGAGAGACAAGCCAGCACAGGGAGAAGAAAGCACAAACCAUUGUGGAGCAGGAGGGAGACCGAGCUCAAGGAACCUCUGGCAGCUCCUGGAUCCAUCCAAACCUGAUCGUAGAACUCCCUUGGCCUUCACAAUUACUCCAAUAAAUGCCCCCCUUUUUGAUUAAGCUGGUUGAAGUUGGAUUUCUGUUACCGGCAACUGAAAAGAGCCUUACUAAUCAUUCUCAUUCAUACAC
This is a long non-coding RNA of Bos taurus (domestic cattle), 1941 nucleotides long. NCBI's taxonomy places the organism in Eukaryota, Metazoa, Chordata, Mammalia, Artiodactyla, Bovidae. The record is from Ensembl.